GUACGGUGGCGGGGGCUGUCGCCCUGGCGCUCGGGUCGCCGCUGGUCCGCGCGAUCCUCGCCGCGCGCCGGAUCC
Molecule: transfer RNA, 75 nt
Filed under: Microbacterium saccharophilum
Lineage: Bacteria; Bacillati; Actinomycetota; Actinomycetes; Micrococcales; Microbacteriaceae
Description: tRNA-Pro
Source: RNAcentral